CUCCGGUUGAUCCUGCCGGACCCGACUGCUAUCAGAGUGGGACUAAGCCAUGCGAGUCAACAUAGCAAUAUGUGGCAUACGGCUCAGUAACACGUAGUCAACAUGCCCAGGGGACGUGGAUAACCUCGGGAAACUGAGGAUAAACCGCGAUAGGUCAUCACUUCUGGAAUGGGUAAUGACUUAAAUCUAUAUGGCCCCUGGAUUGGACUGCGGCCGAUCAGGCUGUUGGUGAGGUAAUGGCCCACCAAACCUGUAACCGGUACGGGCUCUGAGAGGAGGAGCCCGGAGAUGGGCACUGAGACAAGGGCCCAGGCCCUAUGGGGCGCAGCAGGCGCGAAACCUCUGCAAUAGGCGAAAGCUUGACAGGGUUACUCUGAGUGAUUUCCGUUAAGGAGAUCUUUUGGCACCUCUAAAAAUGGUGCAGAAUAAGGGGUGGGCAAGUCUGGUGUCAGCCGCCGCGGUAAUACCAGCACCUCGAGUGGUCAGGACGUUUAUUGGGCCUAAAGCAUCCGUAGCCGGCUUUGCAAGUCUUCGGUUAAAUCCACCUGCUCAACAGAUGGGCCGCUGGAGAUACUACAGAGCUAGGGAGUGGGAGAGGCAGACGGUAUUCAGUGGGUAGGGGUAAAAUCCUCUGAUCCAUUGAGGACCACCAGUGGCGAAGGCGGUCUGCCAGAACACGUUCGACGGUGAGGGAUGAAAGCUGGGGGAGCAAACCGGAUUAGAUACCCGGGUAGUCCCAGCUGUAAACGAUGCAAACUCGGUGAUGCAUUGGCUUAUGGCCAAUGCAGUGCCGCAGGGAAGCCGUUAAGUUUGCCGCCUGGGAAGUACGGACGCAAGUCUGAAACUUAAAGGGAUUGGCGGGGGGAGCA
RNAcentral lists this ribosomal RNA (869 nucleotides) under uncultured archaeon. Its description in RNAcentral is "bacterial SSU rRNA". It matches the Rfam family "Archaeal small subunit ribosomal RNA", at positions 1 to 878 of the family's 1478-position model. The record is from RNAcentral.